AUCAUCAUCAUAAUCAAUUAUUUUAAGAGAGAUACAGCACAGGAUAAGUGUACCAGGAGGCCGCACCUGGGUACUGUGUCGCAAAACCACCCUCACAGAGGCAAUUGCCCUUUCAUCAUGAUUACACCUUGAAAAUUCUGAGGAAAAUAACAUUUUUAUCUCUUUCACUUUACAAAAUCUCUGGGGACAUCUUCAAUAAAACAUCAAGCCACCAGGUUCCAGAUGCUACCAGGAUGCCAACCGGACUUUCCUGGGAAGACGACCCCACCAAUGUGUCCCGGAGCCCCUCCUCCCCAGACCCCUCCUCCCCUAGGGGAGUAUGGAUCAACCUGUCAACACUCAUGUU
This is a long non-coding RNA of Erinaceus europaeus (western European hedgehog), 346 nucleotides long. RefSeq lists it as uncharacterized. Lineage: Eukaryota; Metazoa; Chordata; Mammalia; Eulipotyphla; Erinaceidae. The record is from RefSeq and is a predicted model, not a curated record. The transcript is spliced from 3 exons.